Molecule: ribosomal RNA, 801 nt
Filed under: uncultured bacterium
Lineage: Bacteria
Description: bacterial SSU rRNA
Rfam family: Bacterial small subunit ribosomal RNA
Source: RNAcentral
UNUGCUGUGAAAGGCUGGGGCUUAACCCUGGUUUUGCAGUGGGUACGGGCUAACUAGAGUNCAGUAGGGGAGACUGGAAUUCCNGGUGUAGCGGUGGAAUGCGCAGAUAUCAGGAGGAACACCGAUGGCGAAGGCAGNUCUCUGGGCUGUAACUGACGCUGAGAAGCGAAAGCAUGGGGAGCGAACAGGAUUAGAUACCCUGGUAGUCCAUGCCGUAANCGUUGGGCACUAGGUGUGGGGGACAUUCCACGCUUUCCGCGCCGUAGCUAACGCAUUAAGUGCCCCGCCUGGGGAGUACGGCCGCAAGGCUAAAACUCAAAGAAAUUGACGGGGGCCCGCACAAGCGGCGGAGCAUGCGGAUUAAUUCGAUGCAACGCGAAGAACCUUACCAAGGCUUGACAUAUACUGGACUGCGUCAGAGAUGGCGUUUCCCUUCGGGGCUGGUAUACAGGUGGUGCAUGGUUGUCGUCAGCUCGUGUCGUGAGAUGUUGGGUUAAGUCCCGCAACGAGCGCAACCCUCGUUCUAUGUUGCCAGCACGUGAUGGUGGGGACUCAUAGGAGACUGCCGGGGUCAACUCGGAGGAAGGUGGGGAUGACGUCAAAUCAUCAUGCCCCUUAUGUCUUGGGCUUCACGCAUGCUACAAUGGCCGGUACAGAGGGUUGCGAUACUGUGAGGUGGAGCUAAUCCCUAAAAGCCGGUCUCAGUUCGGAUUGGGGUCUGCAACCCGACCCCAUGAAGUCGGAGUCGCUAGUAAUCGCAGAUCAGCAACGCUGCGGUGAAUACGUUCCCGGGCCUUGUNC